RNAcentral lists this small nuclear RNA (101 nucleotides) under Calidris pygmaea (Spoon-billed sandpiper). Lineage: Eukaryota; Metazoa; Chordata; Aves; Charadriiformes; Scolopacidae. The record is from RNAcentral.
GUGCUCUCUUUGGCAGCACAUAUACUAAAACGAUACAGAGAAGAUUAGCAUGGCUGCUGCGCAAGGGCAACACACAAAUUCACAAAGUGUUCUGUAUUUUA